Molecule: long non-coding RNA, 1073 nt
Organism: Pezoporus occidentalis (night parrot)
Lineage: Eukaryota; Metazoa; Chordata; Aves; Psittaciformes; Psittacidae
Exons: 3
Source: RefSeq, a predicted model, not a curated record
CACCCGAGUCCGGACACCGGCCUCCCCGCGGCAGCGACAGGGCCGCAGUUCCGCAGCUGCCGGGCAGGGGGCGCCGCGCCACAACGUACGGGCAGCCGGGCACAGCGACGGCAGCCAGCCCGGGCUCGGCAGAGCGAAGCGGAGCCGGUAGCCCGCGGCGCCGAGCCCGGCUCCGGCUGCAGGCGGCUGGAUCCGGCAACCCGCGUGCCGCUCUCUCGAUGAAGGUGGUGGUGGAGCGGGCGGUGCCCUCAGCCCCAGAAGGGCGUAUUCAAAUUCCUAAAGAAAGCUUUGAAAGAGAUCCAAUGAGGCAAUCACAUGCAUGUGCAACUAUUUUUUUACCAGGCAAGAAUAUAUGGAAUGUGGAUGGAGUUUCAGCAUAGCUCUGCAAAUGUGUGCAUUGCUGCAGCUGUGAGGGAAAAUGUUUACCUGAUGGUCAGCCUUGGAGUCAGCUUCAGCCUGGGAAAGGUGAUCUCAGGAGCUGCAUGCUGAACAUGAGAAGCACUUACUCUGGGUUUGAUAUCAAACGUCUUUACAGAGGAUUGUGGCCAAUAAAUCCACUUUCUUAUCACAUAGCUAUGAGUCAGACACUGUUAUGAGCAUGGAGUGUCAUGCACUGGCCUGCCACGUGGAUCUUUGUCCUAGAGAGGCAUGAUAGCAGGGAUUUCAAUGAGUUAUCACACAUUUUCAAGUGGAGCUUGCUAUUACAUCUUCUUAUGCUUCCUGAAAAUUUUAUUUUUCCACACUUAUUUGCAGUGCAGACUUGAACAGAAAAUACCAUGACUAAAUAGGAAAGCCAAUAAGUUGUUAUUGUAGUCCUAAAAAAAAUAUAUUUACAGAAAUCAUAGAUGGUUUGAUGUCUCUUCAAAGUAUAAUGACGUUCUAAUCUGAAGCUCAAAUAAAUCAUUAAGAUGUCACUGGUUUUAAAGAAGGCCUUAACUAUCUAGUAUCUUGCUAACAGGUUUAGUUUUCCCCUGAAAUUUGGAAAUAGUUGCAUAUUUUCUAUUGGAUGGGUUAGGGUCAUUGCAUUAGCAUUUAAAUCCACAUUUUUAUUGAAUAUAUGGUAUUUGAUUUGC